Molecule: transfer RNA, 73 nt
Filed under: Mustela putorius furo (domestic ferret)
Lineage: Eukaryota; Metazoa; Chordata; Mammalia; Carnivora; Mustelidae
Rfam family: tRNA
About the family: Transfer RNA (tRNA) molecules are approximately 80 nucleotides in length. Their secondary structure includes four short double-helical elements and three loops (D, anti-codon, and T loops).
Source: Rfam by way of RNAcentral
UCCUGGCUGGCUCAGUGAGAAGAGCAUGUGACUCUUGAUCUUAAGGUUGUGAGUUCAAGCCCCACAUUGGGUA